CCCCUGGUGAUCCAGUGGUUAAGACUCUGCAUUUCCAAUGCAGUGGGUGCAGGUUUGAUCCUCACUCAGGGAA
Molecule: transfer RNA, 73 nt
Filed under: Ovis aries (sheep)
Lineage: Eukaryota; Metazoa; Chordata; Mammalia; Artiodactyla; Bovidae
Rfam family: tRNA
About the family: Transfer RNA (tRNA) molecules are approximately 80 nucleotides in length.
Source: Rfam by way of RNAcentral